This 458-nucleotide ribosomal RNA is filed under the name uncultured bacterium. Its description in RNAcentral is "partial 16S ribosomal RNA". It matches the Rfam family "Bacterial small subunit ribosomal RNA", at positions 338 to 795 of the family's 1533-position model. The record is from RNAcentral.
CCUACGGGUGGCAGCAGUGAGGAAUAUUGGUCAAUGGGCGAGAGCCUGAACCAGCCAAGCCGCGUGAGGGAGUACUGCCUUAUGGGUUGUAAAUUCUUUUUGGCGGGGAGCAUAAGCCGGACGUGUCGGGCUGCGAGAGUACCCGACGAAUAAGCAUCGGCUAACUCCGUGCCAGCAGCCGCGGUAAUACGGAGGAUGCGAGCGUUAUCCGGAUUUAUUGGGUUUAAAGGGUGCGCAGGCGGAUUUUUAAGUCAGCGGUCAAAUCGUGGGGCUCAACCCCAUCCAGCCGUUGAAACUGGGGAUCUAGAGUGUGCGAGAGGUUUGCGGAAUGCGUGGUGUAGCGGUGAAAUGCAUAGAUAUCACGCAGAACCCCGGUUGCGAAGGCGGCAUACCGGUGCACAACUGACGCUCAGGCACGAAAGCGUGGGUAUCGAACAGGAUUAGAUACCCUUGUAGUC